UACAGAGGGGGCAAGCGUUGUUCGGAAUUACUGGGCGUAAAGGGCGCGUAGGCGGCGCGGUAAGUCGGGUGUGAAAUCUCGGAGCUUAACUCCGAAACUGCAUUCGAUACUGCCGUGCUUGAGGACUGGAGAGGAGACUGGAAUUUACGGUGUAGCGGUGAAAUGCGUAGAUAUCGUAAGGAAGACCAGUGGCGAAGGCGGGUCUCUGGACAGUUCCUGACGCUGAGGCACGAAGGUCAGGGGAGCAAACGGG
This 253-nucleotide ribosomal RNA is filed under the name uncultured bacterium. Its description in RNAcentral is "partial 16S ribosomal RNA". It matches the Rfam family "Bacterial small subunit ribosomal RNA", at positions 524 to 776 of the family's 1533-position model. The record is from RNAcentral.